RNAcentral lists this ribosomal RNA (496 nucleotides) under uncultured bacterium. RNAcentral's name for it is "partial 16S ribosomal RNA". It matches the Rfam family "Bacterial small subunit ribosomal RNA", at positions 28 to 506 of the family's 1533-position model. The record is from RNAcentral.
GAUGAACGCUGGCGGCGUGCCUAAUACAUGCAAGUCGAGCGAACAGACGAGGAGCUUGCUCCUCUGACGUUAGCGGCGGACGGGUGAGUAACACGUGGAUAACCUACCUAUAAGACUGGGAUAACUUCGGGAAACCGGAGCUAAUACCGGAUAAUAUAUUGAACCGCAUGGUUCAAUAGUGAAAGACGGUUUUGCUGUCACUUAUAGAUGGAUCCGCGCCGCAUUAGCUAGUUGGUAAGGUAACGGCUUACCAAGGCAACGAUGCGUAGCCGACCUGAGAGGGUGAUCGGCCACACUGGAACUGAGACACGGUCCAGACUCCUACGGGAGGCAGCAGUAGGGAAUCUUCCGCAAUGGGCGAAAGCCUGAAGGAGCAACGCCGCGUGAGUGAUGAAGGUCUUCGGAUCGUAAAACUCUGUUAUUAGGGAAGAACAAAUGUGUAAGUAACUAUGCACGUCUUGACGGUACCUAAUCAGAAAGCCACGGCUAACUACGU